AUUGAACGCUGGCGGCAGGCCUAACACAUGCAAGUCGAGCGAGCGGCGGACGGGUGAGUAAUGUAUGGGGACUGCCCGAUAGAGGGGGAUAACUACUGGAAACGGUGGCUAAUACCGCAUACUAUCGGAUAACACAUAUGGGAUUAGCUAGUAGGUGGGGUAAAGGCUCACCUAGGAGACGAUCACUAGCUGGUCUGAGAGGAUGAUCAGCAACACUGGGACUGUGACGCGGCCCAGAAUCCUACGGAGGCAGCAGUGGUGAAUAUUGCACAAUGGGCGCAAGCCUGAUGCAGCCAUGCCGCGUUUAUGAAAAAGGCCUUAGGGUUGUAAAGUACUUUCAGCGGGGGGGCGGUAACCGCAGAAGAAGCACCGGCUAACUCCGUGCCAGCAGCCGCGGUAAUAC
This 403-nucleotide ribosomal RNA is filed under the name uncultured bacterium. RNAcentral describes it as "partial 16S ribosomal RNA". It matches the Rfam family "Bacterial small subunit ribosomal RNA", at positions 30 to 526 of the family's 1533-position model. The record is from RNAcentral.